RNAcentral lists this ribosomal RNA (120 nucleotides) under Pteropus alecto (black flying fox). The record is from RNAcentral. Lineage: Eukaryota; Metazoa; Chordata; Mammalia; Chiroptera; Pteropodidae.
AUCUAUGGCCAUGCUACCCUGAACAAGCCUGACCCCAUUUGAUCUUGGAAGCUAAGCAGGGUCAGGCUUUGAUUAGUAUUUGAACGGGAAACCACCUAAGAAGCCCGGGUGCCACAGGUA